RNAcentral lists this ribosomal RNA (117 nucleotides) under Ktedonosporobacter rubrisoli. Lineage: Bacteria; Bacillati; Chloroflexota; Ktedonobacteria; Ktedonobacterales; Ktedonosporobacteraceae. The record is from RNAcentral.
ACCGGUGAUAACAGCGAAGAGGGUACACCCGUUCCCAUCCCGAACACGGUAGUUAAGCUCUUCAGCUCCGACGAUACUCUGCGGGCAACUGCACGGGAAAAUAGGACAUCGCCGUUU